CUUGAAUCAAAUUUUAGUUUAGUGGUACUUGGCGUCGGAUGAAAUACUAGAUUAAGGGAGCAGGUCCCGAAACCACACCUUGUGCAUUAAGCGAUUUCCUCUGUACCUGUAAUCGAAAAUAUAAGCUAAUUAAAUGCUUACACGUGAAGUCAUUUGCAGUGUUUGGAUACUUCUUUGAGAUACAUAGUAAAUUCAGUCUGGUGAAGUCGUUUUCGGUCUUUUCCGGUAAUUUUCCAAAAACAUUUUUGCGCAUAAAACGCGUUAAUUGAAUUUGUCCAAUGCAAGAAUUCACCGUCCGAAGUUGAUUGCAAGGAGUGUGAGCAGCCGCUUAGCAUAGCCUUGAAUAAGCAAAAGGAUAAGGUGUUAGCACUGGAUUCGAAGGGAUCCUCACAGAGGAGUGGACACACUACAGCAAACCUUCAGCACAAACAAAUUACGCUCUACAUUUAUCUUUGGUUAUCUAGCUGUAUGAGUAUAGCUAACAUCAUAAAGCUAGCUUACCGAAGUUAAUACUAGGGCUUUUUCAUCACCGGCAGCCAGAAAAAUAAUUACUUUUAGUGUAUUAUAUAUAAGGCUCGUUUAAAAAUAGAUUAUGCUUUUUUUAAAUAAACUGAUAAUGAGUACCA
Molecule: long non-coding RNA, 626 nt
Organism: Hermetia illucens (black soldier fly)
Lineage: Eukaryota; Metazoa; Arthropoda; Insecta; Diptera; Stratiomyidae
Exons: 2
Source: RefSeq, a predicted model, not a curated record